RNAcentral lists this ribosomal RNA (494 nucleotides) under uncultured bacterium. RNAcentral describes it as "partial 16S ribosomal RNA". It matches the Rfam family "Bacterial small subunit ribosomal RNA", at positions 28 to 507 of the family's 1533-position model. The record is from RNAcentral.
GACGAACGCUGGCGGCGUGCUUAACACAUGCAAGUCGAACGGAAAGGCCUGCUUUCCCUUGUGGAUUGCGGGUACUCGAGUGGCGAACGGGUGAGUAACACGUGAGUGAUCUGCCCCCAACUUGGGUAUAAGCCUGGGAAACUGGGUCUAAUUCCCGAUAGGACUGCAGGGUGGUGCCUGUGGUGGAAAACGAUUUUCUAGUGGUUGGGGAUGAGCUCGCGGCCUAUCAGCUUGUUGGUGGGGUAAUGGCCUACCAAGGCGGCGACGGGUAGCCGGCCUGAGAGGGUGGACGGCCACAUUGGGACUGAGAUACGGCCCAGACUCCUACGGGAGGCAGCAGUGGGGAAUAGUGCACAAUGGGCGGAAGCCUGAUGCAGCGACGCCGCGUGGGGGAUGGCGGCCUUCGGGUUGUAAACUCCUUUCGACCGCGAGGAAGCCACCUGGUUGGAAGGGUGGUGACGGUAGUGGUAGAAGAAGCACCGGCUAACUACGUG